AUGGAGCUACGCGUUGGUAACAAAUACCGGCUUGGGCGGAAAAUCGGGAGUGGAUCCUUCGGCGACAUUUAUCUAGGUACUAAUAUUUCUACGGGUGAGGAGGUCGCUAUCAAGCUAGAAUGCAUAAAGACUCGACAUCCACAAUUGCAUAUAGAAUCCAAGUUUUACAAGAUGAUGCAAGGAGGUGUUGGAAUACCUACCAUAAAAUGGUGUGGUUCGGAAGGUGACUAUAAUGUAAUGGUAAUGGAAUUACUUGGACCAUCACUAGAAGACCUAUUUAAUUUUUGUUCGAGACGUUUUUCAUUGAAAACGGUUCUGCUCCUUGCCGAUCAAUUGAUAAGUAGAACAGAUUACAUUCACAGCCGCAACUUCAUUCAUCGUGAUAUUAAGCCGGACAACUUUCUGAUGGGCCUUGGGAAAAAGGGGAACCUCGUCUACAUCAUAGAUUUUGGAUUGGCUAAAAAGUAUCGUGAUGGGCGCACACACAAACAUAUACCUUAUCGAGAAAACAAGAAUCUUACAGGAACAGCCAGAUACGCGAGUAUAAACACACACUUGGGGAUUGAACAAUCACGGCGGGACGAUCUCGAAUCUCUUGGCUAUGUCCUCAUGUACUUCAAUAGGGGUAGUCUGCCUUGGCAAGGAUUGAAAGCAGCAACAAAGAGACAAAAAUACGAGCGUAUUUCCGAGAAGAAAAUGUCGACACCUGUAGAAGAACUUUGCAAGGGUUAUCCCGUAGAGUUCGCGUCGUAUCUAAGGUAUUGUCGAGAUCUGCGCUUCGAGGAGAGGCCAGAUUAUUCGCAUCUUCGUCAACUCUUCCGGACAUUGUUUCAUGGCCAAGGCUUCACCUAUGAUUAUGUCUUCGACUGGAACAUGCUGAAGUUUGGUAACGCGAGACAACCAACGUUACCCUCGGCGCAACAAGCGCCCAUGCAUUCACAGCCGUCUAACGCGGCGCUGCCUUCUGGGACCAACAACGAUCAGGAACAUCGAUCAAGGCCGUACACACGACAGUGUUUGCCGAACGCGUCUGUAGCGGCGGUGGGGCCGACGCUUGGGCCAAACGCGAGUCUGCGGGCGAUCCGGCAGAAACGCGAAAUGGAGACUCGUGGCGACCAGGACAAUCAGGACAAGAGUGAUCUCCAAGCAUCGGGUGCGGGUGGCCAAGAACGAAGGGUCAGCAUGCGGUUGCACCGUAGAGACGCGCUUCUAGCUGCUGCAGGGGAAAUGCAACCCAAAUCCAAGUGAGUUGCUACAUGAUAUAGAACGACUGAAUCUUCUAAACGACUGGGUAUAACUUGCUCUAUUGUGAAACGCGAGGAAUGCGGUAACCGAAAGCUAUCGCAUUAAUUCUAAAUGACAAAAGUAGACAAAGAGGGGGCGAAAUUAUCUCCUGUGCCACGGUAGAAGACGCCGAUCGUGAAAACUCUGAUCACGGGAAAAAAACUUUCAUCGUGCGAGCCUUCUCUCCGAGUACAUCUCUCCUCACGAGUAUAUCAAAAUAUUGUCAUCGUAUUUUUUAUUUCAAGAGAAUCUUCCAGUAUUACUUCGAAAGCUAUUUUCUAUCAGUUUUUCUAGCUGAAAACGAUAUACAGCAACGCUUGUACACUUCGAUUUAAAUUGAUACUGUUCAUCAAAUGUUAAACAGAAUCACAACAAGACAUGCCGUUAAUGUCGAGAGGGAGGACAACAAACGCGAUUUUAAUGAAAUAUUUGCAUUCAAGAAAUGCUAUUACAUUUUUAGUAACAAAAUAUGUUUUGUCAUGAAAAGUGAUCAUCAAUUUCCUUAGAUCUGAUCGCUGCUUAAUUUCGUAUUUAAAAAUCGGAGAUAAAAAAAGAGGGCGAAGAUAAAGCCGUAGGGAUUGAGAAUGUAAUGAACGAGAGAAGGAGCGCCGAGAAAGAAAAAAAA
Molecule: unclassified non-coding RNA, 1909 nt
Filed under: Ooceraea biroi (clonal raider ant)
Lineage: Eukaryota; Metazoa; Arthropoda; Insecta; Hymenoptera; Formicidae
Description: casein kinase I, transcript variant X2
Source: RNAcentral